GACGAACGCUGGCGGCGUGCUUAACACAUGCAAGUCGAACGGAAAGGCCCUGCUUUUGUGGGGUGCUCGAGUGGCGAACGGGUGAGUAACACGUGAGUAACCUACCCUUGACUUUGGGAUAACUUCAGGAAACUGGGGCUAAUACCGGAUAGGAGCUCCUGCUGCAUGGUGGGGGUUGGAAAGUUUCGGCGGUUGGGGAUGGACUCGCGGCUUAUCAGCUUGUUGGUGGGGUAGUGGCUUACCAAGGCUUUGACGGGUAGCCGGCCUGAGAGGGUGACCGGCCACAUUGGGACUGAGAUACGGCCCAGACUCCUACGGGAGGCAGCAGUGGGGAAUAUUGCACAAUGGGCGGAAGCCUGAUGCAGCAACGCCGCGUGCGGGAUGACGGCCUUCGGGUUGUAAACCGCUUUCGCCUGUGACGAAGCGUGAGUGACGGUAAUGGGUAAAGAAGCACCGGCUAACUACGUGCCAGCAGCCGCGGUGAUACGUAGGGUGCGAGCGUUGUCCGGAUUUAUUGGGCGUAAAGGGCUCGUAGGUGGUUGAUCGCGUCGGAAGUGUAAUCUUGGGGCUUAACCCUGAGCGUGCAUUCGAUACGGGUUGACUUGAGGAAGGUAGGGGAGAAUGGAAUUCCUGGUGGAGCGGUGGAAUGCGCAGAUAUCAGGAGGAACACCAGUGGCGAAGGCGGUUCUCUGGGCCUUUCCUGACGCUGAGGAGCGAAAGCGUGGGGAGCGAACAGGCUUAGAUACCCUGGUAGUCCACGCUGUAAACGGUGGGUACUAGGUGUGGGGUCCAUUCCACGGGUUCCGUGCCGUAGCUAACGCUUUAAGUACCCCGCCUGGGGAGUACGGCCGCAAGGCUAAAACUCAAAGGAAUUGACGGGGCCCCGCACAAGCGGCGGAGCAUGCGGAUUAAUUCGAUGCAACGCGUAGAACCUUACCUGGGUUUGACAUGGAUCGGGAGUGCUCAGAGAUGGGUGUGCCUCUUUUGGGGUCGGUUCACAGGUGGUGCAUGGCUGUCGUCAGCUCGUGUCGUGAGAUGUUGGGUUAAGUCCCGCAACGAGCGCAACCCUUGUUCACUGUUGCCAGCACGUUAUGGUGGGGACUCAGUGGAGACCGCCGGGGUCAACUCGGAGGAAGGUGGGGAUGACGUCAAGUCAUCAUGCCCCUUAUGUCCAGGGCUUCACGCAUGCUACAAUGGCUGGUACAGAGAGUGGCGAGCCUGUGAGGGUGAGCGAAUCUCGGAAAGCCGGUCUCAGUUCGGAUUGGGGUCUGCAACUCGACCUCAUGAAGUCGGAGUCGCUAGUAAUCGCAGAUCAGCAACGCUGCGGUGAAUACGUUCCCGGGGCU
This 1346-nucleotide ribosomal RNA is filed under the name uncultured bacterium. RNAcentral's name for it is "partial 16S ribosomal RNA". It matches the Rfam family "Bacterial small subunit ribosomal RNA", at positions 28 to 1381 of the family's 1533-position model. The record is from RNAcentral.